GUUUGUACAUAUACACAUAAGUUUAUUUACAUAUACAUAGAUAUAUUGAGUUCGGAUUCCAAUGCUAAUUCAGUUCAGAUAUUGGUCUCGUCUGUUCUGGAAAGCGAAUGCUUAGAGUAAGGGAGAAAGGUAUUCAGAAUUGCACUCUAAACAUGCAUGUGCACAGAUCAAUAAGGCCGCGGUGAACAUACACACUCAUUCCUCGAGUGACGCAAUGAAAUACACAAAUCCUUAUCUUAUCAUCCUUAUCUUAUCGUUACUGCAGCUCCAUUGCCGUCUGGAGGUUCGUAGUAAUAACGCUGGACGCGAACAGAACAGGUAAGAGGCGAGAAUGUCCAUUCCGUUGUUCUGUUGUCAAGGAGAUAGAUUUUCUUAUUGCAUUCCGGUGAACCAGUUCCAUCAAUCCUUGUGAGAUUGUCGACGUUGACAGUGUUAGUGGCACAUCAACUGUGGUUAAUAGAUGCAGUAGUGGAAGAGCUCGUUACCUCUAGCACCAACAGCCAACGGAAUGACAUCCAAGGCAAAGAUAGCAAAACUUCGUGCUCUGGUGAAAGCAGGCGACGCCGAAGGGCUGCAGACCGCCCUCGGC
RNAcentral lists this long non-coding RNA (589 nucleotides) under Penaeus japonicus. RNAcentral's name for it is "uncharacterized LOC122258228". Lineage: Eukaryota; Metazoa; Arthropoda; Malacostraca; Decapoda; Penaeidae. The record is from RNAcentral.